This 372-nucleotide ribosomal RNA is filed under the name uncultured organism. RNAcentral's name for it is "bacterial SSU rRNA". It matches the Rfam family "Bacterial small subunit ribosomal RNA", at positions 526 to 896 of the family's 1533-position model. The record is from RNAcentral.
UAGAGGGUGCAAACGUUGCUCGGAUUUACUGGGCGUAAAGCGCAUGUAGGCGGGCAAAUAAGUCGGGUGUGAAAUCCCUGGGCUCAACCUAGGAACUGCAUCCGAAACUGUUUACCUUGAGUAGUGGAGAGGAAAGCGGAAUUCCGGGUGUAGAGGUGAAAUUCGUAGAUAUCCGGAGGAACACCAGUGGCGAAGGCGGCUUUCUGGACACUAACUGACGCUGAGAUGCGAAAGCGUGGGGAGCAAACAGGAUUAGAUACCCUGGUAGUCCACGCCGUAAACGAUGAGUGCUGGGUGUCUUGGGUAUUGACCCCCGAGGCGCCGUAGCUAACGCGUUAAGCACUCCGCCUGGGGAGUACGGUCGCAAGACUA